RNAcentral lists this ribosomal RNA (551 nucleotides) under Karyolysus sp. Its description in RNAcentral is "SSU rRNA". It matches the Rfam family "Eukaryotic small subunit ribosomal RNA", at positions 362 to 906 of the family's 1831-position model. Lineage: Eukaryota; Apicomplexa; Karyolysidae. The record is from RNAcentral.
ACGGGGGAUUAGGGUUCGAUUCCGGAGAGGGAGCCUGAGAAACGGCUACCACAUCUAAGGAAGGCAGCAGGCGCGCAAAUUACCCAAUUCUAACAGCAUAAGAGAGGUAGUGACAAGAAAUAACAAUACAAGGCAGUUAAAAUGCUUUGUAAUUGGAAUGAUAGAAAUUUAAACACUUUUUAAAGUAUCAAUUGGAGGGCAAGUCUGGUGCCAGCAGCCGCGGUAAUUCCAGCUCCAAUAGCGUAUAUUAAAAUUGUUGCAGUUAAAAAGCUCGUAGUUGAAUUUCUGUUAAAAAUAACCGGUCUGCUUUUAACAAAAGUGGUAUCUUGGUGUGUUUUUAGCAAUAAUGUCCUUUGAAAUGUGUUUUACUUUGUUGUAAAAAACAAUAUUCAGGAUUUUUACUUUGAGAAAAUUAGAGUGUUUCUAGCAAGCUAAUGUUUUGAAUACUGCAGCAUGGAAUAAUAAAAUAGAAUUUUAGUUCUACAUUGUUGGUUUUAAGAGCUGAAUUAAUGAUUGAUAGGGACAGUUGGGGGCAUUUGUAUUUAACUGUC